Molecule: small RNA, 76 nt
Filed under: Flavobacterium caeni
Lineage: Bacteria; Pseudomonadati; Bacteroidota; Flavobacteriia; Flavobacteriales; Flavobacteriaceae
Description: Flavo-1 RNA
Rfam family: Flavo-1 RNA
Source: Rfam by way of RNAcentral
CCCUAGCCCUGAUAGCAGCGGCAUCCUUUCACGUAGCGUAGCGAAGUGAAAGAUAGAGCGGAUAGCAGGUUCCCGG